This 438-nucleotide ribosomal RNA is filed under the name uncultured bacterium. RNAcentral describes it as "partial 16S ribosomal RNA". It matches the Rfam family "Bacterial small subunit ribosomal RNA", at positions 339 to 795 of the family's 1533-position model. The record is from RNAcentral.
CUACGGGGUGCUCCAGUGGGGAAUUUUGCGCAAUGGGCGUAAGCCUGACGCAGCAAUACCGCGUGAGUGAAGAAGGCCUUUGGGUCGUAAAGCUCUUUUCUGAAGGAAGAUAGUGACGGUACUUCAGGAAUAAGCACCGGCUAACUCCGUGCCAGCAGCCGCGGUAAUACGGAGGGUGCAAGCGUUGUUCGGAUUUACUGGGCGUAAAGGGAACGUAGGCGGCACAGCAAGUUAAGGGUGAAAUCCCGGGGCUCAACUCCGGAACUGCUCUUAAAACUGCUGAGCUAGAGAUAGUCAGAGGCGGGUGGAAUUCCUGGUGUAGAGGUGAAAUUCGUAGAUAUCAGGAGGAACACCGGUGGCGAAGGCGGCCCGCUGGGGCUAUUCUGACGCUAAGGUGCGAAAGCGUGGGGAGCGAACGGGAUAGAUACCCCUGUAGUC